GAGGGUAUAGCUCAAGUGGCAGAGUGCAUGCUUGGCAUGAACAAGGUCCUGGGUUCAAUCCCCAGUACCUCCU
This 73-nucleotide transfer RNA is filed under the name Camelus dromedarius (Arabian camel). It matches the Rfam family "tRNA". From Rfam's summary of the family: Transfer RNA (tRNA) molecules are approximately 80 nucleotides in length. Their secondary structure includes four short double-helical elements and three loops (D, anti-codon, and T loops). Further hydrogen bonds mediate the characteristic L-shaped molecular structure. tRNAs have two regions of fundamental functional importance: the anti-codon, which is responsible for specific mRNA codon recognition, and the 3' end, to which the tRNAs corresponding amino acid is attached (by aminoacyl-tRNA synthetases). tRNAs cope with the degeneracy of the genetic code in two manners: having more than one tRNA (with a specific anti-codon) for a particular amino acid; and 'wobble' base-pairing, i.e. permitting non-standard base-pairing at the 3rd anti-codon position. Lineage: Eukaryota; Metazoa; Chordata; Mammalia; Artiodactyla; Camelidae. RNAcentral also lists the same sequence under 1 other name. The record is from Rfam by way of RNAcentral.